GUGAGUAACACGUGGGUAAUCUGCCCUGUACUCUGGGAUAAGCCUGGGAAACUGGGUCUAAUACCGGAUAGGACAUGCUCUCGCAUGGGGGUGUGUGGAAAGUUCCGGCGGUACAGGUUGAGCCCGCGGCCUAUCAGCUUGUUGGCAGGGUGAUGGCCUACCAAGGCGACGACGGGUAGCCGGCCUGAGAGGGUGACCGGCCACACUGGGACUGAGACACGGCCCAGACUCCUACGGGAGGCAGCAGUGGGGAAUCUUGCGCAAUGGGCGGAAGCCUGACGCAGCAACGCCGCGUGAGGGAUGACGGCCUUCGGGUUGUAAACCUCUUUCGGCCAGGACGAAGCCUUUCGGGGUGACGGUACUGGUAUAAGAAGCACCGGCUAACUACGUGCCGGCAGCCGCGGUAAUACGUAGGGUGCGAGCGUUGUCCGGAUUUAUUGGGCGUAAAGAGCUCGUAGGCGGUUUGUCGCGUCGGCCGUGAAAACCUGCCGCUUAACGGUGGGCGUGCGGUCGAUACGGGCAGACUGGAGUUCGGCAGGGGAGACUGGAAUUCCUGGUGUAGCGGUGAAAUG
Molecule: ribosomal RNA, 572 nt
Filed under: uncultured Saccharopolyspora sp.
Lineage: Bacteria; Bacillati; Actinomycetota; Actinomycetes; Pseudonocardiales; Pseudonocardiaceae
Description: bacterial SSU rRNA
Rfam family: Bacterial small subunit ribosomal RNA
Source: RNAcentral